RNAcentral lists this long non-coding RNA (349 nucleotides) under Brassica napus (rape). RNAcentral's name for it is "long non-coding RNA (BNAP_LNC004436)". Lineage: Eukaryota; Viridiplantae; Streptophyta; Magnoliopsida; Brassicales; Brassicaceae. The record is from RNAcentral.
UCUUUAGCCUCUAGUGACUACAACCUUUGGCCCUAUCCUAAGAAAUGGUUACAAACAAUAGUCUUGGAUGUAGAGGAAUACAUAAUUACAUGUGUGGUCCAUGUGAGAGGGAAAGGUAAUGCACUCUUGACCAUAAGAGGCGAUAUGAGAUAAUAAUGCGUGUGGGCAUAUGAUAUGCUUUUGGUAUAUCAUGCUUUUGUUCCUUUGUUAUCUACCAAACUUUAAUGAUUUAUUUACUAGAAGUCUAGAACCUUGCAUAAGAAUAUACCUAAUUGAUAUUUUCGUAGAAUGGACCUAUUUUGACAUAACGACAGUAAGUUGAAAACCGACUGAAAAACACACACCAAAC